UACAGAGGCCACGAGCGUUAGGCGGAAUCACUGGGCUUAAAGCGUGUGUAGGUGGAUCGGUAAGUACCUUGUGAAAUCCCACGACUCAAUCGUGGAACUGCUUGGUAUACUGCCAGUCUUGAGGUACUCAGGGGCAAGCGGAACAGAUGGUGGAGCGGUGAAAUGCGUAGAUAUCAUCUGGAACGCCAAUGGUGAGACAGCUUGCUGGGGGUAUUCUGACACUGAGACACGAAAGCCAGGGGAGCAAACGGG
Molecule: ribosomal RNA, 252 nt
Filed under: uncultured bacterium
Lineage: Bacteria
Description: partial 16S ribosomal RNA
Rfam family: Bacterial small subunit ribosomal RNA
Source: RNAcentral